This 36-nucleotide ribosomal RNA is filed under the name Phytophthora capsici. RNAcentral describes it as "partial 28S ribosomal RNA". Lineage: Eukaryota; Oomycota; Peronosporomycetes; Peronosporales; Peronosporaceae. The record is from RNAcentral.
UUGGACCUGAUAUCAGGCAAGAUUACCGCUAACUAA